RNAcentral lists this unclassified non-coding RNA (391 nucleotides) under Gaudium trinervium. Its description in RNAcentral is "partial miscellaneous RNA". Lineage: Eukaryota; Viridiplantae; Streptophyta; Magnoliopsida; Myrtales; Myrtaceae. The record is from RNAcentral.
UCACGACGUUGUAAAACGACGUUAUGCAUGAACGUAAUGCUCAUAACUUCCCUCUAGACCUAGCUGCUGUCGAAGUUCCAUCUACAAAUGGAUAAGACUUUGUUCUUAGUAUAAGUGUAGGCGAUUUUUUGAUUGGAAAGUAAAGGAGCAAUAACCAACACUCUUGAUAGAAUAAGAAAUUGGUUAUUGUUCCUUUACUUAUUGCUCUUUUAUUUACAUAAGUUUUUUUUUACUUCAGCAUAAGAAAAAGUAUUCUAGUCUUAGGGAUUGGUUUCUGAUUCCGUAUCAUACUUUUUUCCUYAGAUGUGCAUUUUUUUAUAAUUUAUAUACAUUUCUUUUCAACCCUUUGUAAGGCUUUGUUAAAUUAUUAUCUUCUACUUUUUUUWYGGAA